Molecule: long non-coding RNA, 583 nt
Filed under: Citrus sinensis (sweet orange)
Lineage: Eukaryota; Viridiplantae; Streptophyta; Magnoliopsida; Sapindales; Rutaceae
Description: long non-coding RNA (CSIN_LNC000168)
Source: RNAcentral
GACGGUGACGAUUACGGUGUUUGUGGCUCUCUGUUUGGUUGGUGUUUGGAUGAUGACAUCAUCGUCAUCGUCAUCUGUGGUGCCUGUUCAAAAUGUGGAUGAGCCAGCCCAGGAGAAGAAGAGUGAGGCGAAGGAGCAGCUGCCUGAGAGUAAUGAGAGUAGUAGUAAUCAGCAAUUUGAGGAUAAUAAUGCUGAUUUGCCUGAGGAUGCCACAAAAGGAGGCAAGAAUGAGAAAAUCCAAGAAAAUAUAGAGAAGUCGGAUGAAAAGUCCAAUGAAGAGAGUAAGUUCGAUGAUGGAUCAAAUAGGCAGACGCAAAAUGAUGAUAAUAAAACGGGUGAUAGGGAUUCUAAGACAGAUUCAGAAGGUGGAGAAACAAAUACUGAUGAGAGCGAGAAGAAAUCUUACUCAGAUGAAAAUGGCAAUAAAUCUGAUUCAGAUGAUGGUGAGAAGAAAUCUGAUAGAAAGUCAGAGGAGAGCUCUGGAGAAAAAGUUGAUGGUCAGGUAGAGGAGAAGGAAGAUCAAAAUGAAAACAAGGAGUCGGAGAAAAGCUCUGAUGAUAAAAGGGAGGACGACUCCAAAAAC